GGCUCAGAUUGAACGCUGGCGGCAUGCUUUACACAUGCAAGUCGAACGGCAGCACGGGCUUCGGCCUGGUGGCGAGUGGCGAACGGGUGAGUAAUGCAUCGGAACGUGCCCAUUUGUGGGGGAUAACUACGCGAAAGCGUGGCUAAUACCGCAUACGCCCUGAGGGGGAAAGCGGGGGAUUCUUCGGAACCUCGCGCAAUUGGAGCGGCCGAUGUCAGAUUAGCUUGUUGGUGAGGUAAAGGUUCACCAAGGCGACGAUCUGUAGCGGGUCUGAGAGGAUGAUCCGCCACACUGGGACUGAGACACGGCCCAGACUCCUACGGGAGGCAGCAGUGGGGAAUUUUGGACAAUGGGGGCAACCCUGAUCCAGCCAUGCCGCGUGAGUGAAGAAGGCCUUCGGGUUGUAAAGCUCUUUCAGCCGGGAAGAAAACGCACUCUCUAACAUAGGGUGUGGAUGACGGUACCGGACCAAGAAGCACCGGCUAACUACGUG
Molecule: ribosomal RNA, 493 nt
Filed under: uncultured bacterium
Lineage: Bacteria
Description: bacterial SSU rRNA
Rfam family: Bacterial small subunit ribosomal RNA
Source: RNAcentral